UACGGAGGGUGCAAGCGUUAUCCGGAUUUAUUGGGUUUAAAGGGUACGUAGGCGGAAUAAUAAGUCAGUGGUGAAAUCCUGCGGCUCAACCGUAGAACUGCCAUUGAUACUGUUAUUCUUGAAUUUAGUUGAGGUAGGCGGAAUGUGUAAUGUAGCGGUGAAAUGCUUAGAUAUUACACAGAACACCGAUUGCGAAGGCAGCUUACUAAACUAUGAUUGACGCUGAGGUACGAAAGCGUGGGGAGCGAACAGG
Molecule: ribosomal RNA, 253 nt
Filed under: uncultured prokaryote
Description: partial 16S ribosomal RNA
Rfam family: Bacterial small subunit ribosomal RNA
Source: RNAcentral